This 1986-nucleotide long non-coding RNA is filed under the name Homo sapiens (human). RNAcentral's name for it is "non-protein coding lnc-ATP6V0D2-2:5". The record is from RNAcentral. Lineage: Eukaryota; Metazoa; Chordata; Mammalia; Primates; Hominidae.
GCCUUCUCCUGUCUGCCACCACGUGAGAUGUGCCUUUCACCUUCCACUAUGAUUGUGAGGCCUCACCAGCCAUGUGGAACUGGUUCAAGAUUUCAACAUUUUAAGAUAAUCUGAAAAAAAUUGGAAUGUGCCCCCAGCUGCGUGAGUAACUAAAGAUAACAGUAACCAAGUCUCAUUGGAUGACCCAGUUCAGCUAAAAGCUUCUCUUACAGAUGAUGCUAUAUUCUUGAGAGGAGCUUAGAGUGACUGUGUGGUUCACAAACUGUGCAAAUCAAAAUGUAAAUUCUUAGCUUAUCUAAUAAUUGAUUUAUUGUGUAAGGUACAAUAAAUGGUUUAACCACUCUGAAAUUUAUUUUCAAAAUAAAAUGAACUCUAGAUGUAUUCCUAACAGAUGCAGAGAAACUCACACUAGGAUGCCUUGAGGUUUUCUGAGAUGUUUAUUUAUCCUUUGUUUCAAUAGUGAGAACUAAUUAGAAUAAAAUAAAAUUAAUGAGAGCUAAUUAGAAUAAAGAUAAGAUUGAUUAUUUCUACUUCCAGUUAAAACUAAAGAUGCAGAAUCAAUUUUAUGGAAAAAAAGGUUGCCAGGUUUUACUAAAUUCAAGGCUGUUUUUUUCCCUCUAUUUGUUUAGGAUAAACAUAGGCUUCUUCCUGCAUGUCAAUACAAUACUACAUUUGGCAAGUGUCUCCUGUUUCCAGAUGAUCCCGGCAGUUCAUUGUUCGGGAUAUUGAUUUUAAUUAGCACAAGUGGAUCAGCAGCUCUCACUUCAGUUGAUCUGAAAAUCAACAUCUCUAGAUGCUUUUCCUCUGCUCUUCCUUCCUUCAGAAGAGGAAACGCAGUUUUUCAUGUUUGAAAAUCAAUAGAAUAAUUGCAGGCCAAUAACUCUAUGCCAGCAGAACUCAUCUGUGAACAACCAAAAGAAAGAAGCCAAAAGAAUGGUUGAUUCAUUUUUGUUGUAAUAUACAAUUACUUAGAGCACUGUUCCUAUAGAGGAGAUCUAGUCAGAAAAGAAUUAAAUCACUCCUUCCAACAAAAUUGCUUAUGCAGGUAAAUAGAAACCAAAAGUCAGUGUAUGAUAAAGAAGAAAGCUACCAUUUGAGGAAGAAAAGCCCAGGUAGUGGGUCUGAGAAGUUACAAACAUUUAGUACUGCCAGCAACAUCAGUUGGCUCUCUUGGUAGUUUUCCACGGAGGUUUUACAUUCAGCUUUUGCCUACUGACAUGACCUGAACUUGCCUUGAAUUUCCUUUCACUGAGCACUGGGGAUUACAUAUUUUUCCAAAUGCAACGGUCUAAAUAUUAAGUAAAUUUCAAACUUCAGAUGAAAAUUUUUAGAAGGGUAGGUGGAACCUAUUUUGAAGGUCUCUUUUAAUCUUCCAAUUAAUUUCAUGAGUUUAUUGCUUAGAACUUGAUCCUAGAGAUUAUCUUGUAAAAAGCUUAUAAUUUUCUUUCUAGGAUAAGAGAAUCUCUCAGGAGGCUGAAUUUAAUAAAUUAUGUUGUCGAAAUGUCAUCAAUAAGCAAACACCAAUUCAAUGUCUUUCUAAUCAAACUCAUAGCAAUAGCAGAAUGGUGGUUUCUAGGAACAAGAAAAGGUAGGGAGUUGAUAAGUAGAUGUAAAGUUUCAGUUAUGCAGAAUGGGCGUGGGAAGAGCUUUUAGAAAUCUGUUGCACAAAAAUGUGCAUAUGGUUCUAUCCAAGUCUCUGUGUGUGUGUGUGUGUGUGUGCAUAUGUGUUUGUAAAAAUUUUUUGGUCAGUGACUUAAAUGAGGACAGAAAUACUAUGUUUGGCAAACUGACAAACUUACUGAAUAAGUGGUCAUUGUGAUAACAUGAAGGCAGAGGAAAAAAUACGUUAAAAAUGGCUUUAAAGUUAUGAUAAACAGAUCUAACAAGACAAAAUGUAAUAAACUAAAUAUUUAUCAAAUAUAAACACAUAAACAUAAGCAAAAUACAAAAUAUAUUUCUAUAUUUUAUGCAAUAUGGUUAUAUAAU